This 253-nucleotide ribosomal RNA is filed under the name uncultured bacterium. RNAcentral describes it as "partial 16S ribosomal RNA". It matches the Rfam family "Bacterial small subunit ribosomal RNA", at positions 524 to 776 of the family's 1533-position model. The record is from RNAcentral.
UACGGAGGGUGCAAGCGUUAAUCGGAAUUACUGGGCGUAAAGCGUGCGCAGGCGGUUUGUUAAGUCCGUUGUGAAAGCCCCGAGCUCAACUUGGGAAUUGCAGUGGAUACUGGCAGGCUGGAGUACGGUAGAGGAAGGUGGAAUUCCCGGUGUAGCAGUGAAAUGCGUAGAUAUCAAGUGGAACACCAGUGGCGAAGGCGAGUCCCUGGACAACUCCUGACACUGAGGCACGAAAGCUAGGGGAGCAAACAGG